GACGCACCAUUUCCACUUUCGUA
This 23-nucleotide non-coding RNA is filed under the name Arabidopsis thaliana (thale cress). The record is from RNAcentral. Lineage: Eukaryota; Viridiplantae; Streptophyta; Magnoliopsida; Brassicales; Brassicaceae.